CUUGUGAAGUGUGAAGCCUUGUUCAAAUUGUUUAUAGUACCUGGAGAAAUGUUUCUAUUCAUUUUGUAAACUGUCUUCCUGCUAGAACUUUCUGUUGAAACAAUGCAAUGUAUUAUGUAGAAACAA
This is a long non-coding RNA of Amblyraja radiata (thorny skate), 126 nucleotides long. RefSeq lists it as uncharacterized. The transcript is spliced from 3 exons. Lineage: Eukaryota; Metazoa; Chordata; Chondrichthyes; Rajiformes; Rajidae. The record is from RefSeq and is a predicted model, not a curated record.